CAGGCCUAACACAUGCAAGUCGAGCGAGAUCUUCGGGUCUAGCGGCGGACGGGUGAGUAACGCGUGGGAAUCUGCCCUUAGGUACGGAAUAACUCGGGGAAACUCGUGCUAAUACCGUAUGACGACGUAAGUCCAAAGAUUUAUCGCCGAGGGAUGAGCCCGCGUAGGAUUAGCUAGUUGGUGUGGUAAAGGCGCACCAAGGCGACGAUCCUUAGCUGGUCUGAGAGGAUGAUCAGCCACACUGGGACUGAGACACGGCCCAGACUCCUACGGGAGGCAGCAGUGGGGAAUAUUGGACAAUGGGCGAAAGCCUGAUCCAGCAAUGCCGCGUGAGUGAUGAAGGCCUUAGGGUUGUAAAGCUCUUUUACCCGGGAUGAUAAUGACAGUACCGGGAGAAUAAGCUCCGGCUAACUCCGUGCCAGCAGCCGCGGUAAU
RNAcentral lists this ribosomal RNA (435 nucleotides) under uncultured bacterium. RNAcentral's name for it is "bacterial SSU rRNA". It matches the Rfam family "Bacterial small subunit ribosomal RNA", at positions 43 to 524 of the family's 1533-position model. The record is from RNAcentral.